UUACGGAUUCAUUAUCCACCAAGUUUAGCCUCUGAUGAUUUCUUGGUAAUCAAAUAAUGAAGAUUAUAAUGUUGCGAUGGGAAAUCCCGAGUACAACAAGAGCAAGUCUCAAUAUCAUCAAGAUAUUGCAGCACUAUUAUCACUCGGCAAUGGAUUCCACAAAAAGUUGAUAGGUAGAUAAUGUGUGUGUUACUAGAACAUUACAGCAUAAAAUGAAACGUAAGUGUUCAUAACAUUCAUCUUAAAUAACCAAUCAACCCCAACUGUUCUACCCUACACUUUAUGAUGAGUUUUUGGAUAAUUUCUUUUCUAGAAGAUCAUUUUCCCUCCUGAUAGUAUCAAGAUCUGCUUUCAUCUUGUCAAUAUCAACACUUCGAGACACCAUAGUUGCAAGUUUGCCUUCAUAAUCAGUUUGGGUGUUUUUUUUUUUUUUGUUCCAACAAACCUUUAGUGCAAUAUCCUAUGAUGUGUUACAAUAUCUGGCAAGGUUUUUUGCUAGUACAAAAAGCAUGGAGUAUGUAUUAGGGGCACGUUACGGAUUCAUUAUCCACCAAGUUUAGCCUCUGAUGAUUUCUUGGUAAUCAAAUAAUGAAGAUUAUAAUGUUGCGAUGGGAAAUCCCGAGUACAACAAGAGCAAGUCUCAAUAUCAUCAAGAUAUUGCAGCACUAUUAUCACUCGGCAAUGGAUUCCACAAAAAGUUGAUAGGUAGAUAAUGUGUGUGUUACUAGAACAUUACAGCAUAAAAUGAAACGUAAGUGUUCAUAACAUUCAUCUUAAAUAACCAAUCAACCCCAACUGUUCUACCCUACAC
RNAcentral lists this long non-coding RNA (811 nucleotides) under Solanum tuberosum (potato). Its description in RNAcentral is "long non-coding RNA (STUB_LNC007777)". Lineage: Eukaryota; Viridiplantae; Streptophyta; Magnoliopsida; Solanales; Solanaceae. The record is from RNAcentral.